This 69-nucleotide transfer RNA is filed under the name Picea glauca (white spruce). RNAcentral's name for it is "tRNA-Arg". Lineage: Eukaryota; Viridiplantae; Streptophyta; Pinopsida; Pinales; Pinaceae. The record is from RNAcentral.
AGGAUUAGUUGGAUUAGAUUAGCUGGUUGCGCUUUAUUAAAGUUGGGGUUCGAUUCCCCACUAAUCUUU